Non-coding RNA from Odocoileus virginianus texanus, 2519 nucleotides. The record is from RefSeq and is a predicted model, not a curated record. NCBI's taxonomy places the organism in Eukaryota, Metazoa, Chordata, Mammalia, Artiodactyla, Cervidae.
UUCCCUCAAAUGAGUGUGGGUAUGAUAUGAAGAUCUGCUCAAAGCCAAAGUCUCCCCAUGGCCUGACAGCCUUAAAGAAAGAAAACAAUUCUGCAACAGAUGCCUGAUAGCUACAAUCCCAAGCUCUGCCAAAAUGAUGGCUGUCUUGGUACUUCAGGUGGAAUUCGUCCUUUUCAUCUUCAAAACUGGAAGCAGAAAGUUAGUCGAACUAAGAAAGCAGAAUUCAUACGUACAGCUGAAAAAUUUAAAAAUCAGGUUAUUAAUCUAGAAAAAGACAAACACAGUCAUUUCUACAACCAAAAAAGUGACUUCAGAAUUGAACAUAGUAUGCUGGAAGAAUUGGAAAAUAAACUGAUUAACAGCAGGAAAACAGAAAGAGCAAAAAUCCAGCAACAAUUGGCCAAAAUAUACAGCAAUGUAAAGAAGCUUCAGCAUCAGUUAAAAGAUGCGAAGCCUACACCUGAUUUUGUUGAAAAGCUCAGAGAAAUGAUGGAGGAAAUUGAAAAUGCAAUUAACACUUUUAAGGAAGAGCAGAGGUUGAUAUAUGAAGAGCUUAUUAAGGAAGAGAAAACAACUAAUAAUGAGUUGAGUGCCAUAUCAAGAAAACUUGACACAUGGGCUUUGGGUGAUCCAGGAACAGAGAAGGCUUUCAGAGCAGCAUCGGCCAAAGUUCCUGCGGACAGAGUCACACCAAGUGCUCUUCCAGAAGCCGUGGCAGAGUUUGAAAGGUUCCUUCAGCUGACAGGAGGGCGCCAGGGGGGCUGGGACGAUUAUGACCACCAGAACUUUGUGAAGACGAGAAACAAGCAUAAAGGGAAGCCAGCAUUCAUGGGAGAAGUUCUAGAGCACCUUCCCGGAAGAACGCAGGAUGAAGUUCAACAGCAUGAGAAAUGGUAUCAAAAUUUUCUGGCCCUAGAAGAAAGAAAAAAAGAGUCUAUUCAGCAUUGGAAAACCAAAAAGCAGCAAAAAAUGGAGGAAAUUUUCAAAUUAAAGGAAAAAGACAGCAUACAAGUACUUUCUCAUAAUAAACAGGAAGAUAAUCAAAAACAAAAAGAAGAACAAAGAAAGAAGCAAAAAUUGGCCAUUGAAGCUUGGAAAAAACAGAGAAGUAUAGAAAUGUCAACGAAAAACGCUUCCCAGUUAAAAGAGGAGGAAGAGAGAGAAAAGCAGCAGCAGAGAGCACGUCAGCGCCAGUGUAAACUAAAGCUGCUGCUGGAAACCUACACCCAACAGAAGAAAGAGCAGGCAGAGUUCUUGAGACUUGAAAAGGAGAUACGGGAAAAGACAGAAAAGGCAGAAAGAAGGAAAACUGCUGCUGAUGAAAUUUCCAGGUUUCAAGAAAGAGAUUUACAUAAACUUGAAUUGAAAAUUCUGAAUAGACAAUUAAAGGAAGAUGAGAAGGCAGAAAAACAAAGAAAACUGGCAAAAUUAAAAGAAAAGGUUGAAAACAAUGUUAGUAGAGAUCCAUCUAGACUUUACAAACCUACCAAAGGUUGGGAAGAACGGACCAAAAAGAUAGGACCAACAGGCUCUGGGCCACUUCUACAUAUCCCACAUAGGGCUAUUCCAACCUGGAGACAAGGAGUUUAGAAAAUAUGGGAUCAUGAAAUUCUCCUUUAGUUGAUGAGAAUGUUAGCAUAUGGAGUUAUAGGAGGAGAGAAUGACCAUGUCCUUAAAAUUUAUUAGCCUCUUCAGAUUGAUUAUUGUGUUGCAUGUGAAUUGGCAGCUGUUCCCGUCUCUGUUCAGCCUUCCUGGGGCCCACACUGUGGUUUAUAAACUCUGUGUCCUUCACAUCUUCUCGACUGAUGCACUUUUCUUUGGUGCUUUGUUUGCCUCAAGAUAUGAAAGUUUUGUUUUGUAACAACAUCGGAAGUAAGCUGACUUUAAAGGACUAUGAUAUUUCUUAGUGAUAUUUAAAAUGUUUUAAAAUUGCUAGACUAAUAUAUUUGGUCAAAAGAGUCAGUUUUAAAAUUCCAAACUUUUAUAAAUGAAAACACAAUUUAACUUCAUUCAACUCAACUUUAUGGAAAAAAUUUUUUAAAAUCUUAGUUCCUAACUUUAAGUAGUUCCCAGCUUAACACGAAAGGCAUCAUAUACAUGAUAAAUAUAAGAAAUUUCAUUUCUUAUAACUUUUAUCUCAGAGUAUUUUAAUUAUAAUUUGAUCAUUUAGGUCAAAUGAUUUAGAUACAAAUUUACUAGGAGUAGCGUUUAAAACCUUUUCUUAUUUCACAGUUAAUAUUCAAAGUAGAUGGCUUCCAGAUUUUUGAAACUGAAUUCUAUUUAUAUAAUUCUUGGUGCAAAAAGAGAAUUAAUAUAAAACACUGUUACUCAGGAAUGCCCAUUUUAUUUGUUGCACUUGUUCUUCUUAACUUUUUUAAAUGAUUUGAGGUGGUUUAGAAAUAAAAUAUAAAGAAUAGGACAAAAUAAUUUAAAAACAGAAUUGAAUAACAUCAAGAUAGAGCAAAGUAAAGGUUUCUUAUGCAUUGCUUUCUAACAUGUUGCUUUUUUGUUGUACACAA